CCUACGGGUGGCAGCAGUGGGGGAUAUUGCACAAUGGGGGAAACCCUGAUGCAGCGACGCCGCGUGUGGGAAGACGGUCUUCUGGAUUGUAAACCACUGUCCCCAGGGACGAAAAUGACGGUACCUGGGGAGGAAGCUCCGGCUAACUACGUGCCAGCAGCCGCGGUAAUACGUAGGGGGCAAGCGUUGUCCGGAAUUACUGGGUGAAAAGGGAGCGUAGGCGGGGAUGCAAGUUGGGUGUCAAAACUACCGGCUAAACCGAUAGUCGCACUCAAAACUGCAGCUCUUGAGUGAAGUAGAGGCAGGCGGAAUUCCUAGUGUAGCGGUGAAAUGCGUAGAUAUUAGGAGGAACACCAGUGGCGAAGGCGGCCUGCUGGGCUUUUACUGACGCUGAGGCUCGAAAGUGUGGGGAGCAAACAGGAUUAGAUACCCCUGUAGUC
This 440-nucleotide ribosomal RNA is filed under the name uncultured bacterium. Its description in RNAcentral is "partial 16S ribosomal RNA". It matches the Rfam family "Bacterial small subunit ribosomal RNA", at positions 338 to 795 of the family's 1533-position model. The record is from RNAcentral.